This is a small nucleolar RNA of Macaca fascicularis (crab-eating macaque), 103 nucleotides long. The record is from Ensembl. Lineage: Eukaryota; Metazoa; Chordata; Mammalia; Primates; Cercopithecidae.
AUCCUUUCGUAGUUCAUAAGCCUGUUGAUUGGAUUUUCAUGCUCAUGUGUGAGAUGUUCCUCCCUCAGCCUUGUUAAUGUGUUGGCGCGUUACUCAUCUGAUG